UGGCGGCCGUAGCGCGGUGGUCCCACCUGACCCCAUGCCGAACUCAGAAGUGAAACGCCGUAGCGCCGAUGGUAGUGUGGGGUCUCCCCAUGCGAG
This 96-nucleotide ribosomal RNA is filed under the name Escherichia coli. RNAcentral also lists the same sequence under 2 other names. The record is from RNAcentral. Lineage: Bacteria; Pseudomonadati; Pseudomonadota; Gammaproteobacteria; Enterobacterales; Enterobacteriaceae.